Molecule: ribosomal RNA, 485 nt
Filed under: uncultured bacterium
Lineage: Bacteria
Description: partial 16S ribosomal RNA
Rfam family: Bacterial small subunit ribosomal RNA
Source: RNAcentral
GAUGAACGCUAGCGAUAGGCUUAACACAUGCAAGUCGAGGGGCAGCGAGGGUAGCAAUACCUGUCGGCGACCGGCGCACGGGUGAGUAACGCGUAUGUAACCUGCCCGCAACAGGGGGAUAACCCGGCGAAAGUCGGACUAAUACCGCAUAAAACAGGGGUCCCGCAUGGGAAUAUUUGUUAAAGAUUUAUCGGUUGCGGAUGGGCAUGCGUACCAUUAGGUAGUUGGUGAGGUAACGGCUCACCAAGCCUUCGAUGGUUAGGGGUUCUGAGAGGAAGGUCCCCCACACUGGUACCGAGACACGGACCAGACUCCUACGGGAGGCAGCAGUGAGGAAUAUUGGGCAAUGGGCGAGAGCCUGAACCAGCCAAGUCGCGUGAAGGAUGACUGCCAUAUGGGUUGUAAACUUCUUUUACAAGGGAAGAAAAUGAGAUACGUGUAUUUUAUUGAAUGUACCUUGGGAAUAAGCAUCGGCUAACUCCGUG